GAUGAACGCUGGCGGCGUGCCUAAUACAUGCAAGUCGAGCGAACAGAUGAGGAGCUUGCUCCUCUGACGUUAGCGGCGGACGGGUGAGUAACACGUGGAUAACCUACCUAUAAGACUGGGAUAACUUCGGGAAACCGGAGCUAAUACCGGAUAAUAUAUUGAACCGCAUGGUUCAAUAGUGAAAGACGGUUUUGCUGUCACUUAUAGAUGGAUCCGCGCCGCAUUAGCUAGUUGGUAAGGUAACGGCUUACCAAGGCAACGAUGCGUAGCCGACCUGAGAGGGUGAUCGGCCACACGGGAACUGAGACACGGUCCAGACUCCGACGGGAGGCAGCAGUAGGGAAUCUUCCGCAAUGGGCGAAAGCCUGACGGAGCAACGCCGCGGGAGUGAUGAAGGUCUUCUGAUCGGAAAACUCUGUUAUUAGGGAAGAACAAAUGUGUAAGUAACUAUGCACGUCUUGACGGUACCUAAUCAGAAAGCCACGGCUAACUACGUG
This 497-nucleotide ribosomal RNA is filed under the name uncultured bacterium. RNAcentral's name for it is "partial 16S ribosomal RNA". It matches the Rfam family "Bacterial small subunit ribosomal RNA", at positions 28 to 507 of the family's 1533-position model. The record is from RNAcentral.